UGUGGAGGUGUAACUUCCCCUAGGAGUAACCACUGGGAAGGAGGCGAUGCUCAUUAAGUGUGUGAUAUGCAACCGGUUCAGAACUCUGCCUGUCCACUGAGAGAGCCUUUCACCGCUGCCUGGCAAGCCCGACAUUUGAACUCGUUCAGGGGGAAAAAAAGAAAGAGUGGAUUUUACUUUUCAAAGUGGAAAGAAUACCUUCGUCGGGGGCAGCUUUCCUUUCUGUAGCAUCCAGGAGAAGUUGGGAACUGUACAUAGCUAAGACGAAGACAAUUUGCUGAUUUCUUUUGUGCUGUUCUGAUUGAACACAAAUGCGUGUCUUUUGGGAGGGAGGGAGAAAAGGAGAAGAGUUUGCUACUGGUGGAAUGCAUACAAUGCAGGAAGAAGUGUGUUCACACAACUAGGAAGAAGCAUGAACUGUUGAAUGCAUCUGGAGCAUGGCUGCUGUGUGCUUCUCUUCGACCCCAGCGGCUACAGAGCUGCAGGUGUUUUCCUGGAGACACAAAAGUUAACAAGGAUAGAGGUGUUGGCCAACAGCCAGAAGGAUAAAAUUGCCCAGAAGAGAAAGAUGAGGAACUACAAGAGUCGUCCCAUGCUGAGUUUUUGUACCUUUGUGGCUCUCGAAGCAAACACAUAGAUCUCCCCUUGGCAGAUGGACUGGUCCCAUUUCUACCCUUUCACAUCCAGCCUGUAGAUCAGCAUCAUUCCUAUUUUCCAGUUGGAGAUGGAACCGAGGUGGAGAUUGCAGUUUACCAAAGGCUAUUCUAUCACUGAGCAAAAAUGUGGAUGCAGGAAUCACAGCUCUGAACAAGUACCAUGCCCACUGCAGAGCAAGCAGGAGAGAAGAGAGAGAGACAUGGGCAAGAGGUUCUCCAGAAAGAAAACCACCCCUGCUCCUUACCUGGGCUAUCAGGAGAAUCCCAGUUGACUUCUCUAACUUCCUGUCCUGCAAGUUUCUGCCGGGUCAGAGGAACACAGAAAGAAAGGAAAUGAAUCAGACAAGAGGGACCUGCGCCUCCUCACCCUCCCGUCACUCUGCCCAUUUUGCCAGGGAAGAAGGCAAGGGGUUUUUGUGUGUGUGUGUGUGUGUCUUUCUCUCUCCCCUCCCUCCCCCCCAUAUAACACACCCCCUUGCCUGUCUCUCCACCAAUGAGUUUGGCUUUGCAAAUGCGUCUUCUGCGCCUUGAGUCAUCGGCCACGAUCACUUCACAGCAAUGAAACCACAGAAUCCCCUUCCAAAAGCGAGCGCUGGAACUCAACAAAACUCAGUUCUGGCGCUUCUCACGUGGGUGCUAUUGGCAUUCUAAGAGAAUGAGGGAAGUGUUUUCAUGGUGCAUGGAUUCAGAAAGCAGAUGUUGCCAGAAUGGGUAAGUCAAACACCUUUUGAUAUCUGGUAAAUCUACCUUAGGGGCAGGAAACCCUCUGGGUCUUGAAAUCUGGGUAUUGGGUACUGAACAUGCCUGAUCUUAACCCUGGGUCAAGUGUUCUGCAUGCUCCCUCCAUGAUAAAGAAAGCAGUGUAAGGUGAACUGAGAACUCAGACUUGAGUUGCAGGAACCUUGCUGAAGCUCAGGAUGUCUGGGCCUGGGCGAUGAAAAGCAGGAUAUUCAAAUGAUGAUGAUGAGUAACAACACUAAAUAAUGAUUUCCAUAAGGUCCCAUUGAAAUUGCACCUAAAAUUAUGUGGAACUCCCUGCUCCCAAGAGAUCAAGUUAGCUUUCUCUAUCUUUGUGUUCUGAUGAUAAUUGAAAAGUUUCACCGGAAGACAGGAAAGAAGCCUUAUACUGAGUCAGACCAAUGGUCAAUCUAGCUCUACACUGACUGGCAGCAGCCAUCCAGGGUUCCAGGUGGAGGAUGUUCACAGUCCUACCUGAAGAUGCCAUUGGAGGUUGAACCUUUCUGCAUGCAGAGCAGAUGCUUAGACACUCAGCUUUCUCAAACAAGCUUAAACUUCUGCUACUGAUGACUGUUAGUGUUACCCUUGAUGCUUUUACUGCUGUUUUUUUUUAAUAGUUGUGUUAUUUUGUGUGUUGGUGAUUGAAUUAUUGGUGAUUUUAUGUUUGCUUUUUGUUCUCAAGCUGCUCUGAGCAAGUCAGGGGGAGAAGGGGGGGGUUGUACAUUUUUUGAAUAAAUAAAUUGAAAUGCAAAUCCAGAGAUUCCUCCUUUGGUGAUGUGUAUUAAGGAGAGCUGACAGGGCUGGCCUAAUAUGCAUUGCUGCCUGAGGUGGAGCAGGAAAUGAUUCCUUCUUCCCACACCAAGUCAAGGUGCAGAACGCCCAAGGCCAGCCCAAGCUAAGUUGGCACCUAAGGAGGACAAUCCCACAAGCACAUCACUCCUUCCUUGAGGCAAAUGCCUCACCCUGCCUAAUGGCAGAGCUGGCCCUGGGACCCAGAUGAGUUCUGGAAGACUCAUUGCAUUUCUAAAGAAGUGUGUGUGCCUUUCCCCCACACAUGCCUUAACUAUUAUCAGGUUUUGCGUAACAUGGAAGUUUGAAGUGAAUUCAAGGAAUAUCAGGAAAAACAUCAACGAAAUUUCAGAGAGGAAAUAAGACAGCCAGCAAAAUUUAUUCUCACAUCCUUUAACUGCAGGUCAGGCACAUCAAUAUCUGCAUUUUGCCUCUCCUCCUAUCCUUAGAAGCUGCAAGACUGUCCAUCCAAGUUGCAGAUACAGAAAGAUCCCCAAACUGAGCAGGCGCAGACAAUCUUGUAGACUUCAGAGCACCUUCAAUGUUGCCCUUUUCAAUAUUGUUUGUGGUAUGGACAGCACAAGUCUGUGGUGUGUGUGUGUGUGUGUGUGUGUGUGUGUUUGUUUUAACAGACAGAAGUCAGUUUUUGAUCUUCAUUACAUGUGGACAGUCUUGGUGUGUGGACCAAAACAGUCACUCCAAUUCACCAUCCUAUUUGCAGGAGAUGAACU
This is a non-coding RNA of Podarcis muralis (Common wall lizard), 2914 nucleotides long. The record is from RefSeq and is a predicted model, not a curated record. Lineage: Eukaryota; Metazoa; Chordata; Lepidosauria; Squamata; Lacertidae.